This 273-nucleotide long non-coding RNA is filed under the name Panax ginseng (ginseng). RNAcentral describes it as "long non-coding RNA (PGIN_LNC016171)". Lineage: Eukaryota; Viridiplantae; Streptophyta; Magnoliopsida; Apiales; Araliaceae. The record is from RNAcentral.
UUCAGAUCAAUAUUUCAGCAUAAUGAUAUUGAAGAAAUAAUAUCAUUACAAAAAAAAAUAAUAUCCCUUACCUCGGAAAGACAGUACUUCUAACUGGAAUACUGGAUAUAGGCUAUAACUUGAACUUUCACCGUAUAGCAAUACUCAAAGUAUACUCAAAAUACUCACAAGAAUACGCUCGAUAAUAUAGAGAGAGAAAACUUCAGUUUCUGGUGUGAUUUUCAAUUCUAACCUAAGCACCAUAUUUAUAGGAAAAUGCUUAGAACACCAAAG